AGAGGAACGCAUUUAUUAGAUAAAAAGCCAAUGCAUGCUUUUACAGUAUGAAAAUUGGUGAUUUAUAAUAACUUAGCAAAUCGCAAAGUGAAAACAGGCGAUAAAUCAUUCAAGUUUCUGACCUAUCAGCUUUCGACGGUAUGGUAUUGGCUUACCGUGGCAGUGACGGUUAACGGGGGAUUAGGGUUCGAUUCCGGAGAGGGAGCCUGAGAAACGGCUACCACAUCUAAGGAAGGCAGCAGGCGCGCAAAUUACCCAAUUCUAACAGUUUGAGAGAGGUAGUAACAAGAAAUAACAAUACAAGGCAGUUAAAAUGCUUUGUAAUUGGAAUGAUAGAAAUUUAAACCCUUUUUAAAGUAUCAAUUGGAGGGCAAGUCUGGUGCCAGCAGCCGCGGUAAUUCCAGCUCCAAUAGCGUAUAUUAAAAUUGUUGCAGUUAAAAAGCUCGUAGUUGAAGUUCUGCUAAAAGUAACCGGUCUGCUUUUAAUAAAGGUGGUAUCUUGGUGUGUAUUUAGCAAUGAUGUCCUUUGAAGUGUUUUUUACUUUAUUGUAAUAAAGCAUAUUCAGGACUUUUACUUUGAGAAAAUUAGAGUGUUUCUAGCAGGCUAACGCUUUGAAUACUGCAGCAUGGAAUAAUAAGA
Molecule: ribosomal RNA, 639 nt
Filed under: Hepatozoon canis
Lineage: Eukaryota; Apicomplexa; Hepatozoidae
Description: bacterial SSU rRNA
Rfam family: Eukaryotic small subunit ribosomal RNA
Source: RNAcentral